GAGUUUGAUCCUGGCUCAGAAUGAACGCUGGCGGCGUGCCUAACACAUGCAAGUCGAGCGCGAAAGGGGCUUCGGCCCUGAGUAGAGCGGCGAACGGGUGAGUAACACGUGGGUAACCUGCCUGGGAGUGGGGGAUAACCUGGGGAAACUCGGGCUAAUACCGCAUACGUUCACGGGGCUUCGGCUCCGUGAGGAAAGCCGGCCUAUGCUUGCAAGCUGGCGCUCCCAGAGGGGCCCGCGGCCGAUUAGCUAGUUGGUGGGGUAACGGCUCACCAAGGCAACGAUCGGUAGCCGGCCUGAGAGGGUGUUCGGCCACACUGGAACUGAGACACGGUCCAGACUCCUACGGGAGGCAGCAGUGGGGAAUAUUGGACAAUGGGCGAAAGCCUGAUCCAGCAACGCCGCGUGGAGGAAGAAGGCCUUCGGGUCGUAAACUCCUGUCAGGUGGGAGGAAAAGGUGCUGGCGAACAACCAGCAUUCUUGACAGUACCACCAGAGGAAGCCCCGGCUAACUCCGUGCCAGCAGCCGCGGUAAUACGGAGG
This 543-nucleotide ribosomal RNA is filed under the name uncultured bacterium. RNAcentral's name for it is "bacterial SSU rRNA". It matches the Rfam family "Bacterial small subunit ribosomal RNA", at positions 9 to 531 of the family's 1533-position model. The record is from RNAcentral.